Molecule: ribosomal RNA, 75 nt
Filed under: Sporomusa malonica
Lineage: Bacteria; Bacillati; Bacillota; Negativicutes; Selenomonadales; Sporomusaceae
Description: 16S rRNA. Bacterial SSU
Rfam family: Bacterial small subunit ribosomal RNA
Source: RNAcentral
CUUUAUUGGAGAGUUUGAUCCUGGCUCAGGACGAACGCUGGCGGCGUGCCUAACACAUGCAAGUCGAACGGAGUA